This 484-nucleotide ribosomal RNA is filed under the name uncultured bacterium. RNAcentral describes it as "partial 16S ribosomal RNA". It matches the Rfam family "Bacterial small subunit ribosomal RNA", at positions 30 to 507 of the family's 1533-position model. The record is from RNAcentral.
AUUGAACGCUGGCGGCAGGCCUAACACAUGCCAGUCGAGCGGAUGAAGGGAGCUUGCUCCUGGAUUCAGCGGCGGACGGGUGAGUAAUGCCUAGGAAUCUGCCUGGUAGUGGGGGAUAACGUCCGGAAACGGGCGCUAAUACCGCAUACGUCCUGAGGGAGAAAGUGGGUGAUCUUCGGACCUCACGCUAUCAGAUGAGCCUAGGUCGGAUUAGCUAGUUGGUGGGGUAAAGGCCUACCAAGGCGACGAUCCGUAACUGGUCUGAGAGGAUGAUCAGUCACACUGGAACUGAGACACGGUCCAGACUCCUACGGGAGGCAGCAGUGGGGAAUAUUGGACAAUGGGCGAAAGCCUGAUCCAGCCAUGCCGCGUGUGUGAAGAAGGUCUUCGGAUUGUAAAGCACUUUAAGUUGGGAGGAAGGGCAGUAAGUUAAUACCUUGCUGUUUUGACGGUACCAACAGAAUAAGCACCGGCUAACUUCGUG